Molecule: ribosomal RNA, 450 nt
Filed under: uncultured Glomeromycotina
Lineage: Eukaryota; Fungi; Glomeromycota
Description: SSU rRNA
Rfam family: Eukaryotic small subunit ribosomal RNA
Source: RNAcentral
AGCAGCCGCGGUAAUUCCAGCUCCAAUAGCGUAUAUUAAAGUUGUUGCAGUUAAAAAGCUCGUAGUUGAAUUUCGGGAUCAAUAUAUCGGUCGUGCCUUGGUACGUACUGGUAUCAUUGGUUUCUCCUUUCUGACGAACCAUGAUGUCAUUAAUUUGGUGUUAUGGGAAGUUAGGACUGUUACUUUGAAAAAAUUAGAGUGUUUAAAGCAGGCUUUAGCUUGAAUACAUUAGCAUGGAAUAAUGAAAUAGGACGUUCGAACCUAUUUUGUUGGUUUCUAGGAUCAACGUAAUGAUUAAUAGGGAUAGUUGGGGGCAUUAGUAUUCAAUUGUCAGAGGUGAAAUUCUUGGAUUUAUUGAAGACUAACUACUGCGAAAGCAUUUGCCAAGGAUGUUUUCAUUAAUCAAGAACGAAAGUUAGGGGAUCGAAGACGAUCAGAUACCGUCGUAGU